RNAcentral lists this ribosomal RNA (776 nucleotides) under uncultured Neocallimastigales. RNAcentral's name for it is "partial large subunit ribosomal RNA". It matches the Rfam family "Eukaryotic large subunit ribosomal RNA", at positions 16 to 616 of the family's 3401-position model. Lineage: Eukaryota; Fungi; Neocallimastigomycota; Neocallimastigomycetes; Neocallimastigales. The record is from RNAcentral.
UACGACUACACAUCAGGCAUAUCAAUAAGCGGAGGAAAAGAAACUAACUAGGAUUCCCUUCAGUAACGGCGAGUGAAGCGGGAAGAGCUCAAAUUUGAAAUCUUCAAGGUUUUACCUUGACGAAUUGUAGUUUAAAGAAGUGUUUUCUGUUGAAGUUUUGGUAAAAGUUCUUUGGAAUAGGACAUCAUAGAGGGUGAGAAUCCCGUAUUUGACCAUUAUUUUCAGCUGUGUGAUACACUUUCAAAGAGUCGGAUUGUUUGGGAAUGCAGUCCAAAAUGGGUGGUAAAUUUCAUCUAAAGCUAAAUAUUGGCGAGAGACCGAUAGCGAACAAGUACCGUGAGGGAAAGAUGAAAAGAACUUUGAAAAGAGAGUUAAACAGUACGUGAAAUUGUCAAAAGGGAAGCGUUUGACACCAGUGUUGUUUUCUCGAAAAUCAAUUAAAAAAGUUAGGAUUUUGUGUUGUAUUGACCUUAUCAGCUUUCUGCACUCCUUUCCUAGUCUUUUUUAAUGCACUUUUCGUUUAACAAGUCAACAUCAAUUUCUUUUGUUGUAAAAGGGUCAUUGGAAGGUGGCUUUCUCUUCGGAGAAAGUGUUUAUAGCCUUUGAUCUCUGCAAUCGGAGAGACUGAGGUCUGCAGCGUAGAUCCUUCGGGGUUAGAUACAUUUGUGCUAAGUUAUAGCCUUUCAUAGACAACUUGUUGACUAUGAUCAGUCAUGUAGCUUACUCGCUUAUGCUAUUUUACCUACGCUUAGGAUGUUGAGCGCAUGUCUCUCUCU